This 3342-nucleotide long non-coding RNA is filed under the name Mus musculus (house mouse). Its description in RNAcentral is "predicted gene, 41235 (Gm41235)". The record is from RNAcentral. Lineage: Eukaryota; Metazoa; Chordata; Mammalia; Rodentia; Muridae.
GAAGGUGAUCAAACCAGACACAAGCCCUCACGGCAAGAGGAUUAGCAUCUCCUGCCACUAGCAGAGGACUUAGCGAUUCCUUUAAUUAUCAAGCUCUUCAAUCCACAGAAAAACCAAGAGAGCUUGCAGUAGGAGAAAGCGGGAGCCGAGCCAGCCUGGAGAGCAAACAGAUAUUGCUGUGGAUGUUUCUGUUUAGGGCCGAGGAAGACAAUGAUGCUGUUUUUCCUACUGAUGGAGACGACUACUACAACUAUCUAUAACGAAAGAAGAGGCCUAAAGAUGAAGUCCUGCUCUCAGCUGGAUCCCUGUCUGACCAGGAGCUUGGCUCCCAGACUUUCUCCUGAGAAAGAAGAAUGCCUUUAAGUUUUCAGAGAGGAGACAGACUAGUUAAGAGUCUUGCCACACUGGAGGCUUCUGUCCCGGGCAGAGAAUGUGCUCAGAGCAGUCUACAGGCUCUUUCUGCAGCUGCAGGUUGGGGGACUCAUCUUCCUUCAGUCCACAAAGCUUCAUAUUUUGAAUUCAGAAGGUAAUUCAUUCAUGCAACUACUUGGACUACCCAAGAUUCAUUGCUUCAGAGACUUGCAGAGAUUUGCAACUCAAGCCUUCAAGACCUGCCAGAGACAGGAGGUAUGCUAGGCUUGUUACCCCUGUCAAUGAUCACUCUGCAGAAUUGUUCUGCCAGGGAUUGCUAUUGGCUAGCACUCCAAAGCCCCUAACAGCGUUCAAACUGUAAUACUUACCAACAGUUUUUGUGUGUCCCCCUGAAGCCUGGUGAGAUCACAGGGCUGUAACACUUGUAACUUAUGGGCUAGGCACCCUGAGGCCUGUUGAGGACAUGCAACUGUAACUCCCACAAUCUUUCUUAAUUUGUACCCUGAAGACUGCUGAGAGCAUAGAGCUGCAGCCCUGACACUGAAUCUUGGUUGGCAUCCUGCCACUGGCAAGGAUCUCAGAGGAUGUGUUUGAGUCUUGACUGUCCUCUUUGAAUUGUUUCAACGUGGCAAAUAUGGUUUUCUAAAUUUCCCUUUGCUGUCUACUGACUUCAUUAUUGGAAGAUGUGCAAGAACCUGAUACCGGAGAAUUAACUAUCUCAACUGUUAACUGGCUGGGAAUUCAACAAAAAUUCAAUGGUGGGAGCCUAUGGGAAGUCAACAGGAAUCACUGCAAUCAAUAGAACAGUUUUGGAAUGCCGAGGGAGAGAUGGACUUUGUCAUGCUUCUGUUGUUCAGAGCAUCCACGCUUUAUGCUUCAUUGUACCUCUUUGGAGCAAAAUACCAGGACUCUGUAAGCAGUUUUAAAGUGAAUGGCACAGCUGCCAGUUUCCGGUGUCAGAUGUCAGUCUGAUCAAUUCCCCUGCUAGGAAUAUUGAUCUUGUUUCUCUUGAGUUUCCUUUCAUAGAUAUCUGCUACCCAUCAUGAAGGGCUAUGGUAAGGUUCUGAAGGAACUGGAGUUUUCUGGUAUGAGUGACACCAGGCUGUUACUAGGAGGAGUCCUGACCAAACAGGUGUUGGGCACAGACCCUUGCAUUUUAUUUUCUUCUGUCUUUCUUCCAAAUGGCACAUGGCCAAAAUCUUUUGUCUUGUGGACCUCUUGGUUGCUGGAUGUCACACCUGAUGCUGAAGGCACUAGGGACAUGGGGACAUUACAAGCUGUGCACAUACAAGGGGUUUCCCAUUGAAAGCUGAUGAGUCUGCUGGAAGAGAGAUUUCCUGGUGAGCUUGGCACAGAGUUUUACAGCAGGUUUGGGCAUCACACAAUGAUGAUGUAAACUCAUCCUGUUUUCUUGAGGGAGGUAAGAGGCCUUCCUCUCAGGGGUAUCCAGGUUGGUCUCAUUGUAUUGUUCUGUGCAACCUGAGGCCAUGGAGACAAUGAAGGACAGCAGCUAGGAGGAUACAUGGUCUUGAAUGCCUUCUUCAGGAAUCAGAAUAAUUGAUUAUUCACCAUGAAGAUGGGUUAGUCUGGAACCCUAACAAGAGUGGGCAAGCUAAACAUUCCCAAGGGGUUGUAAUAUUUCCCAUUGCUCUUCUUCAGGUUCACUUUUCAAAUAUCUAAAGUGUUUUUGUGAUUAACUUGGGUAAAAUUUGUUGACUUGAAUUUGUUAUCUCUCUCAGUUGGUGAUAUUUUCCUGGAAACAUGUUUCAGAUGAGUGUAAAGGCUCUCCUGUGGGAUUGUUGUAUAGUAGUUAAGAGAUGGUAGAGCCCAUGUGUGCAUUGGGGUGGGAUCUCAGUGGUGUUUCCUCAGGGAGGCAUCAACAUUGGUCAAUAGGCUUUUUGAUAAUUCUAGGAGAGGUUCUGUAUGAGGGCAUUCUUUCCUGGAAAGAAAGAACACAACGAGGAGUACAGGCCUCUAUGUUCCCAUUGUCAACUCCUCCAAUAGAUUAAUAGGUUUCUCUUAAUCUUCCCUUCUAACUAAGAAAUGGGGCUCCCUCACAUACAAUAGGCUACCCCAUGACAAAACAUAAUCUUUUAACUACUUGUGAAACUGAACAUUAAGAAACCAGAGCUUUUUUUGCUGUUGUCCAGGCUUUGUUUAAAUGUUGCAUGGAAGUUCAAACUCAAAGACUGGUGACAGUGUCCUUUUGAGUAUUUAACUACCAAAGUCUGGAGACCUAAGAGGGCAGAGGGAUUAACAUGGCAGUCAAUUCUUGGUGCUUGCUCUUCAAGAACAACUAGGAACCAGGGACCAAUGGCAUCCUUUUGAAAGACUCCUAUUCUGAUACAUUUCCUGUCCUUUUCAUGAGAGAGGCCAUGAAGAAUCCCAAGACUGGACUCUAACCAAUGCACAUCCUGCAGAGAGGGAAGUCAAUGAAGAAGGAUGUUCUCUAUGUUUCCGAAGAAAGUCGCUUCUGAAGAAAGUUGUAUAGAGGACCAUGACUCAUCCCAGCAGAUGGUGUACUUGGGAAAAGAACAAUGAAGUCACUCCCGGGUCCUUGAAAACAACUCUUAUUAGAUUUUUUAAAAAUUGGUUUUGGGCCUGGCGGUCGUGGCACACGCCUUUAAUUCCAGCACUUGGGAGGCAGAGGCAGGUGGAUUUCUGAGUUCAAGGCCAACCUGGUCUACAAAGUGAGUUCCAGGACAGCGAGGGCUAUACAGAGAAACCCUGUCUCAAACAAAACAAAACAAAACAAAACAAAACGAAACAAAACAAAACAAAUCAAAACAAAACAAAAAUGGUUUUAGUAGGAAAAUGUUAAUUCUUGACCACUAUUUUUUCUCUUAAACACUUGGCAUGAAAGUAUAGCUAAAGAACAAAACAAUUGCAAAGGAAUUUGGGCCUCUGACUUGAAUGUGCAUUUCUACUGUGGAAGGAUCUUCUAACAGUAAAAUAACAAACUGCAUAUUA